GUGGGGGAAAGCUGGGGACCUUCCUCGGGGGGCACAAAUCUUUUCCUGUCACUGGGGGAUGCACACAGCUCAUGGAGACCAUGUCAACCACCGGCCUAAGGAAAGCAGCGGGAGAGCUAAAGCAUGACGCGGCUUAAGCAGCUUGUCUGAGUUUGCACAGCUGGCAAAUGGCUGAGCCAUGACUCACAUGCAGGUCCAUCCACCGCCAAAGCUGGAGAUCUCUGGCAUCCUUCUAACAUCAGAAAGGGAAAGAAAUCCCUAAUAAGGAGCCUAGGUGACGGCGUGCCCACCCUCCACUUUCCCACCUCCACCAAGCACCCGUUUGAAGGCUGUUCACGCCAGUCACUGCAAUCACCGUUGAGCACAGAGAUGACAGUUCCAGCAAGCACUGACCUUCCAACACACUCUGCGGAGGAGAAGACUGAGGGGCCGAGAGGAUGGUGAUUUGCUGCAGUUGAUUCUGAGUCUAAUUUCCCGGCGCUGACUCAAACUCAUUAGGAACACUGCUUUCACUGAGUGUAUGAAGUGGUUUCUCCAUCCGUGUGCUCAUACCGGUCCCACGGCCCAGGUGUGGGGCGGAGCACUCCUUUCUGCCUCCUCCCUGGAUUGCAGGACCUGUGUCUCUCUUUAUGAAAGAGAUACCAUUUGGGGAAGACUCGCAUUGUCAGGAGCGCUGUGGACGCUCCGGGUGGAGAUCAACACGGUGAUGAUGAUGAUGCCGGGUGGAGGGAAUGUGCGCUUUUCAGGAGCCAGAAGAGAAUAAUCUGAAUGUCUCCAGCAUCAAGAAAAGACCAGUAUUGAAGGUGAUGGAUGCCUUAAUUACGCUGAUUGGAUCUUUACAAGUUAUAUUAAUGUAUUAAAUUCUUAUAUGUACGCAAAAACUAUGUACACCUAUUAUGCACCAAUAAAAAAGAAAUAUUUUUUUAAAGUGA
RNAcentral lists this long non-coding RNA (932 nucleotides) under Pongo abelii (Sumatran orangutan). RNAcentral's name for it is "lincRNA". The record is from RNAcentral. Lineage: Eukaryota; Metazoa; Chordata; Mammalia; Primates; Hominidae.